UACAGAGGAGCCAAGCGUUGUCCGGAUUGACUGGGCGUAAAGCGCACGCAGGCGGUCUGGCGCGUGGGGUGUGAAAUCUGGCCGCUUAACGGCCAGGCGCCAUCCCAUACGGCCGGACUGGAGCCUUGCAGAGGUCGGUGGAAUUGCCGGUGUAGUGGUGAAAUGCGUAGAGAUCGGCAGGAACACCCAGGGGGAAACCAGCCGACUGGGCAAGUGCUGACGCCGAGGUGCGAGAGCGUGGGGAGCGAACCGG
Molecule: ribosomal RNA, 253 nt
Filed under: uncultured bacterium
Lineage: Bacteria
Description: partial 16S ribosomal RNA
Rfam family: Bacterial small subunit ribosomal RNA
Source: RNAcentral